RNAcentral lists this long non-coding RNA (298 nucleotides) under Physcomitrium patens. RNAcentral describes it as "long non-coding RNA (PPAT_LNC001190)". The record is from RNAcentral. Lineage: Eukaryota; Viridiplantae; Streptophyta; Bryopsida; Funariales; Funariaceae.
AUCCUCCUUAUCCUACCACAAGAUACCAACUACUACAUCUCUAAUGAAAACUGCUUUUCCUAACUAUUCAUCCAUUUUAACUACUGAACUACCUUUCUAACAGUCAUCUAUCCCUGUUUACACUAUAAACUAAGUAUCUACAAAUCAACAAAUAACUACUUAUUCUACAAGCAUCUUCAUACAAAUAUAAUAGUGGCACUACUUGUAUAAGAUUCAACACUACAUUAGAACAUGAGAAGAAUAAUCACAAAGAUCGAUCAUCUAUACAAAGAGAGGCUAUUUAGCUACCAUUGCAACU